GACAGCUCUUCGGAUUCACCAAGCAAUUAUAUUGCUCGUACAUUGUAUUGUGUACCGCGGAAAUUGUGGGUGCUGGAAUCUAUGUAUGUUCUAGACUGGUUCAAGGGAGCCUAAAAGUUAUAGAGCCACUAUAUGACAAUAUCUUGAAAAAUAUAUAUGUUGACCCGAUCAUUUCUAUGGGAUCUAUAUGAUAUAGUUGUUCGAUCUGAAUGCAUGAUCUGCCAGCAGGCAAUUUUGUGUUUUAUGCAACAUCUCAACUCUGUAGCUUUUAUAGUUUCCGGGUUUAAUGCAUAGAAACAGACAGAAGACCAACAUGAUAAUAGAUUAUGUUACCUGUAUAGGAUGAGAGAUGAUUUCUUCAAUGAAAUGCAAACAUCUGGACAAAAUCAAAAUGCUCUGCAAGUACACAUAUGAAUAGAUGGGACUUUUAGAGAAGUUAUACACAGUCAUAUAGAGCUCGGAAAAAAUCGCAAUAAAUAUGCACACCUGUAUAAAGGGAAAUAUCGAAGUGAAGAAAGCCAUCAAAGUUAUAUCAGUAUGAACAUGAGGAACUCAGUUAAUGCUUACAAGAACGCCAACAAAACGUAAAUCACUUCACAAAAUAAAUGGAUACAACUAUGUAUAUACAACUUUUUCAUAAUAAGAUUUAUUGCGAUGCUUUAGAAAAAAAAGAAAAAAAGCGAGUGUCUUUAAGAGCUCCAACUUUAAAAAAAAGCAGGUAAAAAAACAUUAAAAAAUCAACGUUUGUUUCAAUAGUCCAGAUUUAA
This 767-nucleotide small RNA is filed under the name Drosophila ananassae. RNAcentral describes it as "GF28094". Lineage: Eukaryota; Metazoa; Arthropoda; Insecta; Diptera; Drosophilidae. The record is from RNAcentral.